This 443-nucleotide long non-coding RNA is filed under the name Cavia porcellus (domestic guinea pig). RNAcentral's name for it is "lncRNA (ENSCPOG00000031183.1)". The record is from RNAcentral. Lineage: Eukaryota; Metazoa; Chordata; Mammalia; Rodentia; Caviidae.
GAUUUCUGAGGAAAAAUUAGCUGAUUUAGCUAAUCAAGAUCUUAUUAAGUCUCCCCAAACUCUUCAGGGAGUUCUGACUUCCAUCCACCGGUUAUUUUAACAACAACAUCCUCCACCUGCAGCCCACUGAGAGGACAAACACCCUGCUGUAGAGCCUGAGUCGCCGGUGCUCAUCAACAGGCUUCACCAUGGAUCUCUUGAGCCAUUGAAAAGGUCCCUACAUUGUAGUCCUCAGCACUCCAACUGCUAUCAAAGUAGCCAGAAAGCCUACCUCGAUGCAUCAUUCCCACUUCAAGCAGGUCCUGGCUUCCAAAGGCGAUCAACCUACAGAUUCUUAGGCACUAGAUGUUCAAGCCUUCCAUGUUGAAAAAGAUCCAAUUGGUAUUUCUCUGCAUGAGUGUGUGGCCUACCUACCCCCUAGAGCCUUAGUGGAAUACAGAGGU